UACGUAGGGUCCGAGCGUUGUCCGGAAUUAUUGGGCGUAAAGGGCUCGUAGGCGGUCCGUCAAGUCGGUUGUGAAACCUCAGGGCUCAACCCUGAGCUUGCAGUCGAUACUGGCGGACUUGAGGCAGGUAGGGGAGAGUGGAAUUCCCGGUGUAGCGGUGAAAUGCGCAGAUAUCGGGAGGAACACCAGUAGCGAAGGCGGCUCUCUGGGCCUGUCCUGACGCUGAGGAGCGAAAGCGUGGGUAGCAAACAGG
RNAcentral lists this ribosomal RNA (253 nucleotides) under uncultured bacterium. Its description in RNAcentral is "partial 16S ribosomal RNA". It matches the Rfam family "Bacterial small subunit ribosomal RNA", at positions 524 to 776 of the family's 1533-position model. The record is from RNAcentral.